UCGAUAGGUUUUCUGUGGUCGGAGAGAAGGGGCAUUUGAUGUGGAAGCAUGUUAGUAGUGUCUGCUAUGUGUGAUAGCGAGUCGAAGCAAAAGACUUUAAGGAGCACCUGCACUGCUGAGGACAAGUUUGGGGCUCUGUCUGCUGCAGGCGUAGAAUGAAUCAGUAUGACCUCCAGUCCUAUGGGAGACCACAAUGGAGAAGACAGCUAUGGAAACUUAGACCUGAAUUUAAUUCUGGCAACCAAAGCUUUGAGAAUAUAGGUUGUGUAUUACCUAAUCUUGGUUGUUUUGAGAUCUCAGAUAAAUAGAGUCAGAAGAUACCAGGCACCUUUGGGAUAGACAGAGCAGCCAUGUGCCAAAGCUGAGAAGACCUUCCCAGAUUUGUAUCUCCUCACACCUUCGUCUCACAGAAAGUGGAUUUCAGAACAUGGUGUCGAGGAACAUCCCAGGUCCGUGAGGAGAGGGCUGUAGCUGGCAAGGCUGCCCCAUGUUACACAGGUGGACCAAACAUGGUUGAGUGCUUUGAGUUCCUCAAAGGUGACCUUGAGGUUUGUCCAAGAUGCCUGUGGUAGACCCAAUGUCUUGCUUAAGUGCUGCUUGCAAGCUCUCAGUACAAAGUUGUGGGAUGAGCCUCCAGCAGACCUCUUCAGUAGUUAUAGUGGAGAUCAGUAGGAUCUCAGAGGUAAGGAAUAAUUGAUGAGUGUAAAUGUAAAGUGGACUGAUGGCACUGUGGGAAUUGGUACAACUAUGGAGCUUAUUGUACAGAGGUCAGUUUCCAUUAAUUAAGGGAGAAGAGUGGUAGAAAUGCCCAUGGACAUUGCUUAAGGAGACCAGCACUUAAAAGAAGGAAAUAUGAUGUUUCUGCUGGAGUACUGAUUAACACAGUAUGGUGGUAGAGUACUAAACAUCAUUUAACAGCCUUAAUUUGCAGUUAAUGAAGCUUUUUUUUUUUUUUUUAACUUUUUGUGGGGUGGUGAGUGCUUUUAAAUGGAAAAUCUUGCGCAGAUAUAAUAAAAUACAUUCUGUAAAUCAUUGCUGUGUAUAAGAUUAAAAUGUAACUGACAGUGUUGUGAUUCUUAAAUAUCCUACCUUGUUCAGGCACACUCUUGCUGGACCGUCAAUUUAAAAGAAGUUGCUGACACCACUUCUAUUCUGUGUUCUGACCAAAAAAAAAAAAAGUCUUAUAUGAUUGUUACACUGAACUGUAACUGAAGCUGUCUUGGCUAUGCCUUGGCAGCAGUCCUGAGUGCUGCCUGUUCAUUCCCAAGGGCAGGAGAAUUUUUUCAUGCAGGCACAAAGCAUUUUAAGAACAGCUGUAAUUCAGGAGAUGGAUGUCUGGUCUGUACAAACAUCAUUUGCUUCUCUGAAAUGUUAAUGGAUGGCUUAAGUUUUUUCUUUUAAAAUACCCAUGGAACCUGGUGGUUUGACAACUGAAGGCAGCUGUGGUUUAACUUUAGUCUGGGGGAUGCAGCUGAGCAAAUGAAGACUAGCAAAGACACUAAUUGUCCAUCUUUAGAUGGUGUACUUGCAGCUGUCAGGUGACUGAGUACAGCUGCUGUUGGAGAGCAGGGUGGGAGGAAGAGAGCAGAUGGGUACCUUCACUACCCGGCUCAUUCUUCCUUGUAUAUAAGUGUCUGGUCAUAGAGCUGAGGAAAGUUGCUCCUCCCUGCUUUCCUCCUCACCUAUUUCCCUUUAAAACUCUCUCUUUCCACCUGAUACCCCAUAAAAACACAUG
Long non-coding RNA from Oxyura jamaicensis (ruddy duck), 1735 nucleotides. RefSeq lists it as uncharacterized. Lineage: Eukaryota; Metazoa; Chordata; Aves; Anseriformes; Anatidae. The transcript has 4 exons. The record is from RefSeq and is a predicted model, not a curated record.